UCUUCUGCCUCUCUCCGUCUGUGUCUAUUAUUGUUCGAAUUGCUCCUCCUCGUCUCCGUCACCCGGCGGCGAUCUCCGUCAGGUCGCCGUUAUAACGGCGUGAGAGGACGGACUCUGGUCACCUUCCCCGGACUCUUAUUCUAGCUUGUUUUCCCCUCCGCAUUUCCGAAGGGUUGGGAUGACCAGCCACGCCCGUGGCCCUGGGACGCUUGGCGCGCCGAGGAAGCGGAAGGAGCGCGACGCGUCCGGCCCUGCGCGUCCCCAGCUGGCGAGCUCGGCUGAGCCGGCUAAGGACGACAACCGGCUCCUGGCCGGCUACCUGGCGCACGAGUUCCUCGCGAGGGGAACGCUGCUCGGGAAGAGGCUCGGGCCGGACCGGGCCGACCCGGGAAAGAGGCCGCCUGAGUCGGGCCCGGCCGAGCCGGUGGGGACGUACAAGGAGGCCUCGUAUUUGUUGAUGCGGGGCGGGGCCCACGUGCCUGGCGUGGUCAACCCCACGGAACUGGCUCGGUGGCUCCAGAUGUGAUAAGGAAGGACACGUGGAGAUCAUCCCGUGGGGACGUACUGCAUGUCAUCGUCCUCGAGCCGGUAAGUGAUAAGAAUUUGCCGAUGAAGGACGACGUUCGACUGUUUCCAUUUCGUUUGGGUUCGUCGGUGUCUACUUUCUCGGUGAUGUUUCAUUGGAAAUGGCAGGAUUGUUAGUCCAUGUAUUCCUUCUCUCUUUUCUGUGUUUGCUCGCAUUGCUUUGCCUCGGAAUGAUGGAAACCCUAUUCUCUC
This is a long non-coding RNA of Musa acuminata AAA Group (dessert banana), 777 nucleotides long. RefSeq lists it as uncharacterized. The record is from RefSeq and is a predicted model, not a curated record. The transcript is spliced from 2 exons. NCBI's taxonomy places the organism in Eukaryota, Viridiplantae, Streptophyta, Magnoliopsida, Zingiberales, Musaceae.